This 254-nucleotide ribosomal RNA is filed under the name uncultured prokaryote. RNAcentral's name for it is "partial 16S ribosomal RNA". It matches the Rfam family "Bacterial small subunit ribosomal RNA", at positions 525 to 777 of the family's 1533-position model. The record is from RNAcentral.
ACGUAGGGUCCAAGCGUUAUCCGGAAUUACUGGGCGUAAAGAGUUGCGUAGGUGGCAUGUAAAGCGAACAGUGAAAGCUCACGGCUCAACCGUGAACACAUUGUUCGAACUCACAAGCUAGAGCAUAGUAGAGGUAGCUGGAAUUGCUGGUGUAGGAGUGAAAUCCGUAGAUAUCAGCAGGAACACCGAUGGCGUAGGCAGGCUACUGGGCUAUUGCUGACACUAAGACACGAAAGCGUGGGGAGCGAACGGGA